ACCUCGAAUCAGGUAGGACUACCCGCUGAACUUAAGCAUAUCAAUAAGCGGAGGAAAAGAAACCAACAGGGAUUGCCCUAGUAACGGCGAGUGAAGCGGCAACAGCUCAAAUUUGAAAUCUGGCCUUCGGGUCCGAGUUGUAAUUUGUAGAGGAUGCUUUUGGUGAGGUGCCUUCCGAGUUCCCUGGAACGGGACGCCAUAGAGGGUGAGAGCCCCGUCUGGUUGGACACCGAUCCUCUGUAAAGCUCCUUCAACGAGUCGAGUAGUUUGGGAAUGCUGCUCUAAAUGGGAGGUAUAUGUCUUCUAAAGCUAAAUAUUGGCCAGAGACCGAUAGCGCACAAGUAGAGUGAUCGAAAGAUGAAAAGCACUUUGAAAAGAGAGUUAAAAAGUACGUGAAAUUGUUGAAAGGGAAGCGCUCAUGACCAGACUUGGGCUUGGUUGAUCAUCCAGGGUUCUCCCUGGUGCACUCUUCCAGUUCAGGCCAGCAUCAGUUCGCUGCGGGGGAUAAAGGCUUUGGGAAUGUGGCUCCUUCGGGAGUGUUAUAGCCCAUUGUGUAAUACCCUGUGGUGGAC
RNAcentral lists this ribosomal RNA (572 nucleotides) under Neonectria sp. BESC196i. RNAcentral's name for it is "eukaryotic LSU rRNA". It matches the Rfam family "Eukaryotic large subunit ribosomal RNA", at positions 1 to 586 of the family's 3401-position model. The record is from RNAcentral. Lineage: Eukaryota; Fungi; Ascomycota; Sordariomycetes; Hypocreales; Nectriaceae.